CCUACAGGAGGCAGCAGUGAGGAAUAUUGGUCAAUGGGCGAGAGCCUGAACCAGCCAAGUCGCGUGAGGGAGUACUGCCCUAUGGGUUGUAAACCUCUUUUGUCGGGGAGCAAAAGCCGGACGUGUCCGGCUGUGAUAGUACCCGAAGAAAAAGCAUCGGCUAACUCCGUGCCAGCAGCCGCGGUAAUACGGAGGAUGCGAGCGUUAUCCGGAUUUAUUGGGUUUAAAGGGUGCGUAGGCGGAAGGUUAAGUCAGCGGUCAAAUGUCGGUGCUCAACACCGGCCUGCCGUUGAAACUGGUCUUCUUGAGUGAGCGAGAAGUAUGCGGAAUGCGUGGUGUAGCGGUGAAAUGCAUAGAUAUCACGCAGAACUCCGAUUGCGAAGGCAGCAUACCGGCGCUCAACUGACGCUGAGGCACGAAAGCGUGGGGAUCGAACAGGAUUAGAUACCCGGGUAGUC
This 458-nucleotide ribosomal RNA is filed under the name uncultured bacterium. RNAcentral describes it as "partial 16S ribosomal RNA". It matches the Rfam family "Bacterial small subunit ribosomal RNA", at positions 338 to 795 of the family's 1533-position model. The record is from RNAcentral.